CCUACGGGAGGCAGCAGUGAGGAAUAUUGGUCAAUGGGCGGAAGCCUGAACCAGCCAAGUAGCGUGCAGGAUGACGGCCCUACGGGUUGUAAACUGCUUUUAUACGGGAAUAACGCGCCUUACGUGUAGGGUUUUGCAUGUACCGUAUGAAUAAGGACCGGCUAAUUCCGUGCCAGCAGCCGCGGUAAUACGGAAGGUCCGGGCGUUAUUCGGAUUUAUUGGGUUUAAAGGGAGCGUAGGCCGCAUGUCAAGUGUGCUGUGAAAUGGCCGGGCUCAACCCGGGCCUUGCAGCGCAAACUGGCGUGCUUGAGUCCGCGGAAGGCAGGCGGAAUUCGUGGUGUAGCGGUGAAAUGCUUAGAUAUGACGAAGAACCCCGAUGGCGAAGGCAGCUUGCUGCAGCGGAACUGACGCUGAUGCUCGAAAGCGCGGGUAUCGAACAGGAUUAGAUACCCGAGUAGUC
This 460-nucleotide ribosomal RNA is filed under the name uncultured bacterium. RNAcentral's name for it is "partial 16S ribosomal RNA". It matches the Rfam family "Bacterial small subunit ribosomal RNA", at positions 338 to 795 of the family's 1533-position model. The record is from RNAcentral.